RNAcentral lists this ribosomal RNA (373 nucleotides) under uncultured organism. Its description in RNAcentral is "bacterial SSU rRNA". It matches the Rfam family "Bacterial small subunit ribosomal RNA", at positions 526 to 896 of the family's 1533-position model. The record is from RNAcentral.
CGUAGGGACCGAGCGUUGUCCGGAUUCAUUGGGCGUAAAGAGCUCGUAGGCGGCCACUCAAGUCAAAUGUGAAACCUCGAGGCUUAACCUCGAGCCUGCAUUCGAUACUGGGCGGCUAGAGUCUGGUAGGGGGAUCUGGAAUUCCUGGUGUAGCGGUGGAAUGCGCAGAUAUCAGGAGGAACACCGGUGGCGAAGGCGGGAUCCUGGGCCAGUACUGACGCUGAGGAGCGAAAGCGUGGGGAGCAAACAGGAUUAGAUACCCUGGUAGUCCACGCCGUAAACGAUGGGCGCUAGGUGUGGGAGGGCAUCGACUCCUUCCGUGCCGCAGCUAACGCAUUAAGCGCCCCGCCUGGGGAGUACGGCCGCAAGGCUA